GGAUAUGAGGGUGAUUGAUCAGCACGAUUUCUUUGGCUGACCUGGUUGGUAGGCAAGUGUCUCCUUCCUCCCUCACCACUCCAUGUGCAUCCUUCCUGAAGCUGCAAAGCUGACUGUGCGCUCAGUGGAAUGGAUGACCACUUCCACUAGAAGAGCACCAUUCCUGGGGAAAAGAUAUAGAGUAUUUGGAAUCUCCUCCUAGAACUUCCAAACAAGACAUCAAGAAAGUUGUAAUUACAGACAAAUAAAUAAAUAUAGAUAAGAUGGCGUAGCUGAAAGUUCUCAAGGUUUUGCCCAUAUU
Molecule: unclassified non-coding RNA, 301 nt
Organism: Cavia porcellus (domestic guinea pig)
Lineage: Eukaryota; Metazoa; Chordata; Mammalia; Rodentia; Caviidae
Gene: 7SK
Rfam family: 7SK RNA
About the family: 7SK was discovered as an abundant small nuclear RNA in the mid-70s but a possible function has only recently been suggested. Two independent studies have found that 7SK RNA binds the CDK9/cyclin T complex (known as elongation factor P-TEFb).
Source: Ensembl